GUCAGUGAUGUGCUGCUCAUGAUUUACAUUUGAGUGAGUGGCGAACUGGUGAGUAACACGUGGGAAACCUGCCCAGAAGCGGGGGAUAACACCUGGAAACAGAUGCUAAUACCGCAUAACAACUUGGACCGCAUGGUCCGAGCUUGAAAGAUGGCUUCGGCUAUCACUUUUGGAUGGUCCCGCGGCGUAUUAGCUAGAUGGUGGGGUAACGGCUCACCAUGGCAAUGAUACGUAGCCGACCUGAGAGGGUAAUCGGCCACAUUGGGACUGAGACACGGCCCAAACUCCUACGGGAGGCAGCAGUAGGGAAUCUUCCACAAUGGACGAAAGUCUGAUGGAGCAACGCCGCGUGAGUGAAGAAGGGUUUCGGCUCGUAAAACUCUGUUGUUAAAGAAGAACAUAUCUGAGAGUAACUGUUCAGGUAUUGACGGUAUUUAACCAGAAAGCCACGGCUAACUACGUGCCAGCAGCCGCGGUAAUACGUAGGUGGCAAGCGUUGUCCGGAUUUAUUGGGCGUAAAGCGAGCGCAGGCGGUUUUUUAAGUCUGAUGUGAAAGCCUUCGGCUCAACCGAAGAAGUGCAUCGGAAACUGGGAAACUUGAGUGCAGAAGAGGACAGUGGAACUCCAUGUGUAGCGGUGAAAUGCGUAGAUAUAUGGAAGAACACCAGUGGCGAAGGCGGCUGUCUGGUCUGUAACUGACGCUGAGGCUCGAAAGUAUGGGUAGCAAACAGGAUUAGAUACCCUGGUAGUCCAUACCGUAAACGAUGAAUGCUAAGUGUUGGGAGGGUUUCCGCCCUUCAGUGCUGCAGCUAACGCAUUAAGCAUUCCGCCUGGGGAGUACGGCCGCAAGGCUGAAACUCAAUGGAAUUGACGGGGGCCCGCACAAGCGGUGGAGCAUGUGGUUUAAUUCGAAGCUACGCGAAGAACCUUACCAGGUCUUGACAUACUAUGCAAAUCUAAGAGAUUAGACGUUCCCUUCGGGGACAUGGAUACAGGUGGUGCAUGGUUGUCGUCAGCUCGUGUCGUGAGAUGUUGGGUUAAGUCCCGCAACGAGCGCAACCCUUAUUAUCAGUUGCCAGCAUUAAGUUGGGCACUCUGGUGAGACUGCCGGUGACAAACCGGAGGAAGGUGGGGAUGACGUCAAAUCAUCAUGCCCCUUAUGACCUGGGCUACACACGUGCUACAAUGGAUGGUACAACGAGUUGCGAACUCGCGAGAGUAAGCUAAUCUCUUAAAGCCAUUCUCAGUUCGGAUUGUAGGCUGCAACUCGCCUACAUGAAGUAGGAAUCGGUAGUAUCUCGGACUGCAGCUAUUGCACAGUCGAUCCGCGGCCGCCGCGUA
This 1341-nucleotide ribosomal RNA is filed under the name Lactiplantibacillus plantarum. RNAcentral's name for it is "bacterial SSU rRNA". It matches the Rfam family "Bacterial small subunit ribosomal RNA", at positions 57 to 1385 of the family's 1533-position model. Lineage: Bacteria; Bacillati; Bacillota; Bacilli; Lactobacillales; Lactobacillaceae. The record is from RNAcentral.